This 255-nucleotide ribosomal RNA is filed under the name uncultured bacterium. Its description in RNAcentral is "partial 16S ribosomal RNA". It matches the Rfam family "Bacterial small subunit ribosomal RNA", at positions 524 to 777 of the family's 1533-position model. The record is from RNAcentral.
UACGAAGGGGGCUAGCGUUGUUCGGAAUCACUGGGCGUAAAGCGCACGUAGGCGGAUCUUUAAGUCAGAGGUGAAAUCCCAAGGCUCAACCUUGGAACUGCCUUUGAUACUGGGGAUCUUGAGUCCGGGAGAGGUGAGUGGAACUGCGAGUGUAGAGGUGAAAUUCGUAGAUAUUCGCAAGAACACCAGUGGCGAAGGCGGCUCACUGGCCCGGUACUGACGCUGAGGCUCGGAAAGCGUGGGUAGCAAACAGGG